GUAAUUCUGGCAGUGACAAGGGAAAUACUGGAGGGAAGCUGUUAAACAGUGCUGUAGCUGGUGACUCUCACAAACACGAAAAUACAACCAAUAUGCAGGGAAAGAAGAAUUUAGCUGGUGAAACUGACAAAGACGAAAAUGUAGCCGAUACGCAGGGAAAGUAUUAUUUUGCUGGUGAAACCGACAAAGACACAAAUACAGCUUAUAUGCGGGGAAAGAAGAAUGUAGCUGGUGAAACCGACAAAGACACAAAUACAGCCGAUACGCAGGGAAAGUAUUAUUUUGCUGGUGAAACCGACAAAGACACAAAUACAGCCGAUACGCAGGGAAAGUAUUAUUUUGCUGGUGAAACCGACAAAGACACAAAUACAGCCGAUACGCAGGGAAAGUAUUAUUUUGCUGGUGAAACCGACAAAGACACAAAUACAGCCGAUACGCAGGGAAAGUAUUAUUUUGCUGGUGAAACCGACAAAGACACAAAUACAGCUUAUAUGCGGGGAAAGAAGAAUGUAGCUGGUGAAACCGACAAAGACACAAAUACAGCCGAUACGCAGGGAAAGGAAAGUAUUAUUUUGCUGGUUAAACCGACAAAGACACAAAUACAGCCGAUACGCAGGGAAAGUAUUAUUUUGCUGGUGAAACCAACAAAGACACAAAUACAGCCGAUACGCAGGGAAAGUAUUAUUUUGCUAGUGAAACCGACAAAGACGAAAAUGCAGCCGAUACAAAGGGAAAGCACCCUACAGGUCGUCAAUCUGACAAUCCAGUGGGUACAAGAGUGAUGGAGGAUGAAAACAUUCAUUACUUUGCCUACUUUGUCACCGGAGUGGUGCUGGUGGCCAUUCUCUACAUCUACAUCGCUAAGCACAACAAGCGCAAGAUUAUCAUCUUUGUUUUGGAAGGGAAGAAUUCCAGAUCCACACGUCGACCUAAAUCUUCAAAUUACCAGAAGCUGGAACAACAUAUGUGAUCCAAAGCUGCCCAGAGAAGCUGAGAAAACGGCUUUAGUAGACUGCGAGUGGAUACAAAUCAUGGAUCUACAGUAAAUAAAAUGACCUGUUAAAUGGACAUUCUUCUAUUCUUGACUUCUAAAUGUUGAAUGACUAUGCAGACGACACUGAUGCCUUAUUGGGAAUUGGAGGAAGUUAGAGGGGGCUGAGAUGGAGGGGAGUAAAAAAAGGAAGUUAUGUGAAAUAGGCUUGCAUUAAAAAAAGGAAGUUAUGUGAAAUAGGCUUGCAGUAUUUUGCACUGCUUUUGCAAUCUGGCCUGUCGAAGGCCCUCACUCAGGGUGUAGAAGUAGCAAAUCAGUAAGAAGUUUGUUCUUUCAACUUCAAUGGAUUUGUUUUUGUAUUUAGAAAAAAAAUGCCAUACCUGUGCCAAAUGAUUUAAGAAAAUAUUGUGAUUUAUUGUGCUGCUGUCUUUUUUUUUUUUCUUUGCCUCAUACUUUCAGUAAUCGUUUUUUUUCUAGCAAGUUUUGGUGAAAGAGAAAAUAUUCUGCUGCUUCCUGGAAGCCAUGUUUGUAGUAUGCUAAACAGUUAAUCUUUUUGGUCCUCUGAGUUUCAGAAAGAAUUGUAUAGACAUUCUGCUGUUUUACUUCAUAUCAAAUAUGAACAGCUGACUGCUUCUAUUAAAAUAAAAGCUAUUUUUUAACUUUCUUCUGUCACUUUUUUCUCUUAGAAUACUUUAAAUAGCACAUCUCUAAUUUAAUCCCUGUCAUCUGCAAAAAGGAAUGGGCUAAAAGGGCUAAAAACUGCAAAAUUACAUUAUCAUUCCAGGAUGGAAAAAAAAGCUUCUUAAUAUCUCUGGUUGAAGUAGAUAUGCACAGCAUGACUCUAAUCUGGAUGGGGAAAACAAGACAUUUUAUUAUAAAAUGUAAUAUCAGGUUUUGUCUGCUCUGGUUUUAAAAAAUGCCCUCAAAUAUAACAAGAUUGCAUGCUAGUCUUGCAUUAUUUUAGCAGACACAGUACCUUGCAGAAGUACUUAAACAUCCUGAACUUCCCCAUAUUUUCUCAAAUUUACAACCUUAAAGUAUUUCAUUGAUAUUUUACUUUGUAUUGGUGUGAGGUACACCAACACAAAGUAAAAACUUUUUAAGAGUUCAAAGCUGGCAACUGUAGCGUUCAUUUGAAGCUGAGUUGAUGCUUUUUUCUUUAUGUACCUUUUGCUCUGACAGCAGCUUUCCGGUCCUCACAGAUCAUACAUCUAGAUUCUGACUAAACGUUCUGACGCGUGAUUAUGCUUUGAUCCGAAGCUUUCUGUUGUUUGAGGUCGUUCUGCUGAAAGGUGAACAUCAGCAAGUCUUUUGCAGUCUGACACUGGUGUCCAAUUCCACAAAGGUCGGCAUGUAAGGGUGGGCCCUAUUGUUUAUAGUUCAUCGUGAUACAUUUCUUAUAAUGCUGAUUAUUAUUGUCAUGACAAAUUCCAGUUAAUGUUUAACACCCCCCAAAAUGUCCAUACUGUGGGGAUUGUUAACUUUACAAUUUUUUUCCCACUGUUUAUUCAGUGAAACUAUCAAUAAAUUUGAAAACUUGA
This is an RNA transcript of Xiphophorus hellerii (green swordtail), 2532 nucleotides long. It is a transcript of the gene named trans-Golgi network integral membrane protein 2-like, with no coding region annotated. The transcript is spliced from 5 exons. The record is from RefSeq and is a predicted model, not a curated record. Lineage: Eukaryota; Metazoa; Chordata; Actinopteri; Cyprinodontiformes; Poeciliidae.